GUCACAACCAAUUAGUUGCACCUCCCCAGCUCCUAGAAGAUGAUGGAGAGCAGCUGUGCCUGCAAUGCCCAGUCCCUGGUUACCUGUUCAUCUGUCCCCACCAGCUCCUCUGGCUGCAAAAGGCAUAAAGUCCUGGGUUUUGCAUGAACACAAACUCAUCGUGAUCCUGCUCGGAGGCACACGGCAACACCAGGACUUGUCAGCGCCUUUCAGGUGGUGCAGCAGAGGACUUGUGGUCCCAAAAGCACACCCUCAGAAGUGAAGGUCCAUCCCAGCCCAGGUUCAGAGGAGGGAGAAGGAACCAGAGCAGUGCCCAGCAAACCACACAGCACAAGGGAUCUGCAGGAGCUUUACAUGAAGUCGAACUUCACUUCCCUUGUCAGCCUGCUCUGAGUGACUCACUGAAGGUGCUGAACAGACUAACGAGUGGGAGGAGGAAACGGGCGGGGGGAGAGGAAGAAAGGGAGACAGGCAGUAAGAUGAAACUAGGAACAUUGAUAUAUAUGACCAAAAAAAAAAGAAGAGAGACUGUUUUUUUAGAAAGUUGCACUACUCCUUCCACUAGUCCUUUUCGAACUCUAAUGUGAAUGGCGUAGAAUCAAACAUCUCCGAGAUUUGAGGAAGAAAAAAAGAAGUAUGAAUAGCUAAAGUGAGAUGAUAUCACGUUUAACCUGAUAUUUAUGAUGAAACUCCAGGGGUUUUAUUUAUUCAGAUGUCACUUACUGUUCAUCCCAAGCGUAACAGAGGACAUGUUGGAAUUGCAAUCUUUAUUUAGGGUUUGUUAGCAUGAUUCAAUUUUUUACUGCCCUUUUGGGAGUUAUUUUUCAUCUUUAGGCAGAUAUCACUGCUAAGAGGAAAAGAGGUGGGGUUUUUUUUAUAUUAUUUUUUCUUUUUUCUUUUUUUUUUUCCCUAGCUCCUUGGGCAAGAUGGUUAUUAAGCAAAUGGGAAUUUGAGUUUUUGAAUUUGCUGGGGUGUGUGCUGGGCUGUCCCCUGACCUGUGAUAGGACAUACUGCAGUCUGGUUUUUUUAAAGGAUCAGAGCUAUAGGGCAGGAGUGACUCCUUUGGGCAUCUCUGCUUUGAAGAUACUGCAAAAAAGCAAGUAAUGCUUAACACCAAACCAGAAUUUUUACUGUUAUUGAAGACAGGGUAUUUUGCGUAGAGUACUGUGAUUGGCACAGCGUCUCUAAAGACCAAAAGUCAUGUAUAUUACUUUUCCUGGAGAGGCUCCCUGUAUCCUAACCUGCCCAUGUUCCUCUCAUCCUUUUCCUACCCCAUCCUACUUUAAGUCUCACCAGGAUCUCUUGAGAGCUGUUUCUUAUCAGAGCCUCUGAGUUUGCCAACCUCUGCAUUGGUGGUGUGACGUACACAAACAAAGAUUUCUCCGAGAUAAUUGUCUUCAUUCAGGGAGUAAUUUGAGAUUUAUAUCCUGAUGUCCAUAAAUAAAAGGCCACAAAGUCUAUGGCUGAGCA
RNAcentral lists this long non-coding RNA (1470 nucleotides) under Cyanistes caeruleus (blue tit). Its description in RNAcentral is "lncRNA (ENSCCEG00000020891.1)". The record is from RNAcentral. Lineage: Eukaryota; Metazoa; Chordata; Aves; Passeriformes; Paridae.